GGGCUCAUAGCUCAGUUGGUUAGAGCACACGAUUGAUAAGCGUGGGGUCGAUGGUUCAAGUCCAUCUGGGCCCACCA
RNAcentral lists this transfer RNA (77 nucleotides) under Puniceicoccales bacterium. RNAcentral's name for it is "tRNA-Ile". It matches the Rfam family "tRNA". Rfam says of the family: Transfer RNA (tRNA) molecules are approximately 80 nucleotides in length. Lineage: Bacteria; Pseudomonadati; Verrucomicrobiota; Opitutia; Puniceicoccales. The record is from RNAcentral.